This 478-nucleotide ribosomal RNA is filed under the name Burkholderia cepacia. RNAcentral's name for it is "bacterial SSU rRNA". It matches the Rfam family "Bacterial small subunit ribosomal RNA", at positions 30 to 499 of the family's 1533-position model. Lineage: Bacteria; Pseudomonadati; Pseudomonadota; Betaproteobacteria; Burkholderiales; Burkholderiaceae. The record is from RNAcentral.
AUUGAACGCUGGCGGCAUGCCUUACACAUGCAAGUCGAACGGCAGCACGGGUGCUUGCACCUGGUGGCGAGUGGCGAACGGGUGAGUAAUACAUCGGAACAUGUCCUGUAGUGGGGGAUAGCCCGGCGAAAGCCGGAUUAAUACCGCAUACGAUCCAUGGAUGAAAGCGGGGGACCUUCGGGCCUCGCGCUAUAGGGUUGGCCGAUGGCUGAUUAGCUAGUUGGUGGGGUAAAGGCCUACCAAGGCGACGAUCAGUAGCUGGUCUGAGAGGACGACCAGCCACACUGGGACUGAGACACGGCCCAGACUCCUACGGGAGGCAGCAGUGGGGAAUUUUGGACAAUGGGCGAAAGCCUGAUCCAGCAAUGCCGCGUGUGUGAAGAAGGCCUUCGGGUUGUAAAGCACUUUUGUCCGGAAAGAAAUCCUUGGCUCUAAUACAGUCGGGGGAUGACRRUACCGGAAGAAUAAGCACCGGCUA